UACGUAGGUGGCUAGCGUUGUCCGGAUUUACUGGGCGUAAAGAGCGCGCAGGCGGUCGUUCAAGUCGAGUGUGAAAGCCCCCGGCUCAACUGGGGAGGGUCACUCGAUACUGAUCGACUUGAAGGCGGGAGAGGGAAGCGGAAUUCCAGGUGUAGCGGUGAAAUGCGUAGAUAUCUGGAGGAACACCGGUGGCGAAGGCGGCAUCCUGGACCGAGAUUGACGCUGAGGCGCGAAAGCCAGGGGAGCAAACGGG
RNAcentral lists this ribosomal RNA (253 nucleotides) under uncultured bacterium. RNAcentral describes it as "partial 16S ribosomal RNA". It matches the Rfam family "Bacterial small subunit ribosomal RNA", at positions 524 to 776 of the family's 1533-position model. The record is from RNAcentral.